This 595-nucleotide long non-coding RNA is filed under the name Homo sapiens (human). RNAcentral's name for it is "non-protein coding lnc-PDCD1-1:22". The record is from RNAcentral. Lineage: Eukaryota; Metazoa; Chordata; Mammalia; Primates; Hominidae.
CGAGAUACAGGCGUGCACCCCGGAGAGGACAGGCUGAGGACCCUCAACAGAGACAGGAAAACCUGCCCGUCACUGAGAAAUGGUUGGAAAAAACAUGAGUAAAAGCCUCACUCUUAAGAAUCCUGGAAGAGUAGCAUACGAUUCAGGCGGGAUAAAGAUGUUUUGGGAGAAAAAAAUCGAGCAUCACGCAAGACACCUGCAGAACGAGGACAUCAGGGUUCGCAGAAGCGCUCUGAACAAGCUCCGCGUGGGAUGGGCUGAGCAGCUGGAGGGGAGGAACAAGAUGCUGCAGGGCCCAGGGAGAUGCCCAGACAGGGUCCCGGAGGCCACUGAGUCCCUCCACACCAAGGACAAGAAGGCGGCCUGAGGGCCCACGAGCUCCAGACUCUGCAUGAGCUUCCGGAGGGUCAUGGAGAAGGAACACCACGCGUGGGGUCCAAGCAUCCACGCCAGAGUUCACAGGAUCUUCAUCAUGGAAAUGGCCCGCACCUCGCUGACCCCGUAAUAAUCCCACCUCGGGGUCCACGCUGCAGCAGAGUCCCAGGGUUCUCUAGCGCAUCUCUGGUGCCCAAUAAAACCUAAGUCAAUUGGAUUG